This 369-nucleotide ribosomal RNA is filed under the name uncultured Psychrobacter sp. RNAcentral's name for it is "bacterial SSU rRNA". It matches the Rfam family "Bacterial small subunit ribosomal RNA", at positions 449 to 813 of the family's 1533-position model. Lineage: Bacteria; Pseudomonadati; Pseudomonadota; Gammaproteobacteria; Moraxellales; Moraxellaceae. The record is from RNAcentral.
CUCUUCGGUUAAUACCCGGAGACGAUGACAUUAGCUGCAGAAUAAGCACCGGCUAACUCUGUGCCAGCAGCCGCGGUAAUACAGAGGGUGCAAGCGUUAAUCGGAAUUACUGGGCGUAAAGCGAGCGUAGGUGGCUUGAUAAGUCAGAUGUGAAAUCCCCGGGCUUAACCUGGGAACUGCAUCUGAUACUGUUAAGCUAGAGUAGGUGAGAGGGAAGUAGAAUUCCAGGUGUAGCGGUGAAAUGCGUAGAGAUCUGGAGGAAUACCGAUGGCGAAGGCAGCUUCCUGGCAUCAUACUGACACUGAGGCUCGAAAGCGUGGGUAGCAAACAGGAUUAGAUACCCUGGUAGUCCACGCCGUAAACGAUGUC